Molecule: long non-coding RNA, 287 nt
Filed under: Homo sapiens (human)
Lineage: Eukaryota; Metazoa; Chordata; Mammalia; Primates; Hominidae
Description: HSALNT0122472
Source: RNAcentral
CUGGGGUCUUCAUCUGUGCAGCUGUAGCCCUCCUGGAGGUGGAUUGUGGAGGUCUAUGCUAAUCAUGUGCUUCUUAUGAGUGAUGGGAAGUGUGGCUGUCCUUGGUGUGCUCUGAAUGGAAAGGCAGAAGACCGGGAAUCACAGAGCCCAUCCUCAUCAGCUUCCAGGCAGAAGAACAUUUGGAAAACAACUAGUGAAGCAGCGUUAAGUGUUGUUAAUGAAAAAACACAGGCUGUUGUUAAUGAAAAAACACAGGCGCCUCUGGAUUGUGAUAACAGUGCUGAUAG